AAAGGAUUAGUUUAAACAAAACAUUAGCUUGUCAAGCUAAAGAUAUUAAUUUAUUAUCCUUUA
This 63-nucleotide transfer RNA is filed under the name Cloresmus pulchellus. RNAcentral describes it as "tRNA-Asp". It matches the Rfam family "tRNA". Rfam says of the family: Transfer RNA (tRNA) molecules are approximately 80 nucleotides in length. The record is from RNAcentral. Lineage: Eukaryota; Metazoa; Arthropoda; Insecta; Hemiptera; Coreidae.